GUGAGGAAUAUUGCCCAAUGGACGCAAGUCUGAGGCAGCAACGCCGCGUGGGCGAUGAAGGCCUUCGGGUUGUAAAGCCCUUUUCUGAGGGACGAGGAAGGACGGUACCUCAGGAAUAAGUCACGGCUAACUACGUGCCAGCAGCCGCGGUAAUACGUAGGUGGCGAGCGUUAUCCGGAUUCACUGGGCGUAAAGCGCGUGCAGGCGGUUCUGCAAGUCGGACGUGAAAGCUCCUGGCUUAACUGGGAGAGGCCGUUCGAAACUGCGGGGCUUGAGGUCGGGAGAGGGACGUGGAAUUCCCGGUGUAGUGGUGGAAUGCGUAGAUAUCGGGAGGAACACCAGUGGCGAAGGCGACGUCCUGGCCCGCACCUGACGCUGAGACGCGAAAGCGUGGGUAGCGAACGGGAUUAGAUACCCCAGUAGUCC
RNAcentral lists this ribosomal RNA (426 nucleotides) under uncultured bacterium. RNAcentral describes it as "bacterial SSU rRNA". It matches the Rfam family "Bacterial small subunit ribosomal RNA", at positions 354 to 796 of the family's 1533-position model. The record is from RNAcentral.